Molecule: small nucleolar RNA, 125 nt
Organism: Sorex araneus (European shrew)
Lineage: Eukaryota; Metazoa; Chordata; Mammalia; Eulipotyphla; Soricidae
Product: small nucleolar RNA SNORA31
Exons: 1
Source: RefSeq, a predicted model, not a curated record
CUGCAUCCAUCGAUAGACUUCAAACAAUUUGCUGUUGUUCAAUGAUUUGCGCUAGGAUCAAAAGGGAAAAAAUUUCAGCAAUUUUUGUCUGUCUUUGUGGCAGCCAGGGGAAAAUAACUAUAAAU